GCGGAGGAAAAGAAACCAACCGGGAUUGCCUCAGUAACGGCGAGUGAAGCGGCAACAGCUCAAAUUUGAAAUCUGGCCCUCGGGUCCGAGUUGUACUUUGCAGAGGAUGCUUUUGGCGAGGCGCUGCCCAAGUCCCCUGGAACGGGGCGCCGGAGAGGGUGAGAGCCCCGUACGGUCGGCGGCCGAGCCUGUGCAAAGCUCCUUCGACGAGUCGAGUAGUUUGGGAAUGCUGCUCUAAGCGGGAGGUAGACCCCUUCUAAAGCUAAAUACCGGCCAGAGACCGAUAGCGCACAAGUAGAGUGAUCGAAAGAUGAAAAGCACUUUGAAAAGAGGGUUAAACAGCACGUGAAAUUGUUGAAAGGGAAGCGCUUGCGACCAGACGUGCGCCGGGGUGCUCCGUGGGCGUUCUCGCCCGCGUACUCGCCCCGGCGCAGGCCAGCGUCGGUUUGGACGGGGGGACAAAGGCGCCUGGGACGUGGCUCCCUCGGGAGUGUUAUAGCCAGGCGUGUCAUGCCCCCGCCCGGACCGAGGUUCGCGUUCUGCAAGGACGCUGGCGUAAUGGUCCCCAACGGCCCG
RNAcentral lists this ribosomal RNA (576 nucleotides) under Sporoschisma mirabile. Its description in RNAcentral is "eukaryotic LSU rRNA". It matches the Rfam family "Eukaryotic large subunit ribosomal RNA", at positions 50 to 651 of the family's 3401-position model. The record is from RNAcentral. Lineage: Eukaryota; Fungi; Ascomycota; Sordariomycetes; Chaetosphaeriales; Chaetosphaeriaceae.